RNAcentral lists this ribosomal RNA (253 nucleotides) under uncultured bacterium. Its description in RNAcentral is "partial 16S ribosomal RNA". It matches the Rfam family "Bacterial small subunit ribosomal RNA", at positions 524 to 776 of the family's 1533-position model. The record is from RNAcentral.
UACGGGGGGGGCAAGCGUUGUUCGGAAUUACUGGGCGUAAAGCGCACGUAAGCGGUCUAACAAGUCUGGCGUGAAAUCCUCUGGCUUAACCAGGGGCGGUCGCUGGAGACUGUUAAACUUGAGGCGAUGAGAGGGGUGCAGAAUUCCCGGUGUAGUGGUGGAAUGCGUAGAUAUCGGGGGGAAUACCAGUGGCGAAAGCGGCACCCUGGCGUCGUACUGACGCACAUGUGCGAAAGCGUGGGGAGCGAACGGG